CGGGUCCGGAAUCGCUUCUGGCCCGAAGCACUAUUAAUGGUUCCAACUCUCAACUAGCCACUGGGCAACCAAAUUUUCAUGGAGCAGCAGCCUCCGACCACAACCGGCACCACCGGCACGCCGCCGCCGCCGCCGCCGCCUUCGGCUGAGAACCUCCCUCCACCGCAGCCACAGCUAUCGCCUUCCUCCUCUUCGCUCCCGCCUCCGGCGCCCGCAGCGACUUCCUCUACUUCCACCGAAUCAAUUCCUGCGUCCCCAAACCCUAAUCCAACCCCCAAACCCUCGAUUCCACCGACUCCGCCACUCCAACAGUCCGCGCAGCCGUCGUCUUCACAGUCACAAGCCUCUCAGCCUCUUCCAAGCCCUUCACAUCCCAAGCCUCCCGUUUUAACGAGGCCUUGGCAACAGCCUCCGUCCAACCUAACGCAUUUCUCUUCUCAUCUCUCGUCGUCUACGUCUUCUUCUUCUUCACCGACAGCACCGGCAGCUGCGGUGCCUCCUCAGCGAGGAGGUAUUGCCAUUGGUGUGCCAGCGCACCACGCGAGCCCUCCUCCGCAGGCGGCUCCGUUCUCGUCUCCGUUAGGGCAACACUUUGGUGGCUUGGGUCGAGGUUCGGUUAAUGUGCCCGAUUCAAUCUCUAGUGCGAGCACUUCUCAGGUGCGUCCGUCCACGCACGGGGUGGCGGCAAUGGGAUCAAUCGGUUCGGGCUCCCAGAUGAGGCCGGGUGGUAUUCACCAACAGAGACCACUACAGUCAUCUAUUCGACCUCCGCCUUCCCCAACUAAUCAGCCCCCAUCGUCUUCUCAAAAUGUACAGGGACAUGGCCUAUUGAGAGGCUCAUCAGUUGGCUCUCCAAUUUCGCAUUCAUCGAGCACAUCACAAAGCAUGCAGUCGUCUAAUCAACCAUGGUUGUCAUCUACUUCUCAAGGAAAACCUCCUUUACCAUCCCCUUCUUAUAGACCACAGAUGAAUCCCCAGUCCUUGCAGCAACGAACGCAUGUACCUCAGCAACACCAUCCACCCUUAUCAACCAGUUCACAGCAACAGUACACAUCACCUGGCCCAUCACAACCUGCUCAAUCAAAUCAGUCACAGGAGCAACAUGGCCAGCAAUUUCCACCAUCAAGGGCUCCACAAUCUUUACCACAUCAACAGAAUUCAAGAAUUCAAGGGUCAGGUGCACAAAAACCUUCUCUUGCAACAGUGCAAGCACAACCUAUCAAGGCCCCCAUGAAUGGGAAAACAGCUGGUUUGGGAAGUGAUGAAACUUGCAACAGGAUUCUUAGUAAAAGAAGUAUCCAUGAACUAGUAAACCAGAUUGAUCCAUCAGAGAAGUUGGAACCUGAAGUGGAGGAUAUUCUUGUGGACAUUGCAGAAGAGUUUGUUGAAUCUAUCACUGCCUUUGGCUGCGCUUUAGCCAAGCAUCGCAAAUCUACCUCAUUGGAAGCUAAAGACAUACUACUACAUCUUGAAAGGAAUUGGAAUAUAACACUCCCUGGUUUCAGUGCAGAUGAGGUCAAGAGCUACCGGAAACCGGUGACAAAUGAUAUACAUAAGGAGCGGCUUGCAGUGAUAAAGAGGUCAGUUGCAGUAAGUGAAGUUGUUAAUACAAGGAAUGGGCCCGGGCAAGUGGCUAGUGGUGCCAAGGGCACUCUGACAAAGGCAGCUGCUAACAUUUUGGGGUCGCCAAACUUGAAGAGCUAAACGUACGUGAAGUUUAAUGAGGUGUUUACAGGCAAUGCCGGUAACCUGUUGUUCAGACGCCUAUUUGUUUGAUUAGAUGCAAUAGCUGUUUGCAAUGCCAUGAUGCAAAGGAACAUUUUGGUACAUAUUAUUUGUCUUGCUGAUGUGAUAAAGCAGGGUUAUGCUUGGGUGCAUCUGGGGUAUUCUAGGAAUUCUAUGGGAAUGAAAAGGGUGGAGUGGGCGGGGGUAGAUUUUCUGGAUUAUUUGGGAUUAGCUAUUGUGCCCUUCAGGAUGGGAUUGUGGUACGAUUCCCUGUACAACAAAUGGGCAACUGCGCAUCUGAUGUUAGUUUUAUUUGGUCCUAUGAAUGAUCGGAUCCAAGGACAAUAUUUUACUGUCCAGUUCAUCUGGGUGUCUGAACUGGCAGAUGGCAUUGGAACAGCAGCUUUUGAGGUUAGGAUGUUCAAUAUAAUCCCAUCAGCUUUGCCCGUUAAAGGCUAUAGUUUUCUAUUUGUCUACUUUCUGGUUCUAGGAUUUAAGUGUCAUAUCUUUUAUGAAUGCUCUCUCCUUUCAUAUGCUUAGAUUCUUUCUUCUUUUCUUUUCCUUUCUGCUUCGGCAUAUGGUGGUUGUAGUUAACCAUC
RNA transcript from Rhodamnia argentea, 2324 nucleotides. It is a transcript of the gene named transcription initiation factor TFIID subunit 12, with no coding region annotated. The record is from RefSeq and is a predicted model, not a curated record. Lineage: Eukaryota; Viridiplantae; Streptophyta; Magnoliopsida; Myrtales; Myrtaceae. The transcript is spliced from 9 exons.